Molecule: long non-coding RNA, 233 nt
Organism: Gorilla gorilla gorilla (western lowland gorilla)
Lineage: Eukaryota; Metazoa; Chordata; Mammalia; Primates; Hominidae
Exons: 3
Source: RefSeq, a predicted model, not a curated record
GAGAUGCAGCUCCCAAAAGAAGAGUAUCAUUGUUGCCAGAAGAAAGUGUGAUUUUCACAGAUCCACACCAUCCAGCGGAUAGGGGGCAGAAGGAACUGAAGAUGGAAAGGGACAUUCACACUCUACCUAGCCUCUGGCAGAACUAGGCUGCGUCCAACUCUGUGUGUCCUCUACCCCUAGCUCUAGAGUCUUUGAUCUGCCUGCACUUUGCUGUGGGACACUGGACGAGUCAC